ACAAAAAUUAUAGAAAUUUUUUUCCUUUGUUCAUAUGCAUAUUCAUGAUUAUAAUUUGGCUUUGUUUGUGAUUAAUGUUUUCUUAAGAUUUUCACAUUAUAGAAUACCUCAAAAGAAGUUGUCUAAGGACUGGGAUAGAGAGUAUGUUUCAUAAAAUUGUAGAUGUUUAGAAUUUUUAAAAACCCUACAAAUUAGUAUAUGAUUGUUUUAUAUAAGUAAGAUAGGAGCAACACUUUAAAUUAUUUGUGGGAGAAUACAGCAUUAAAGGUGAUUUUAAAAGAAAAAAAUUUGGAAUUUUAGAAAAUUUAAAUGCUGUCAGGUAUGGAAUGCUGGGCUUCCAAUCCUGGCCUCAUUGUCUCCUCACCUGUGAUGUUGGAUGAGUUAUUACACUUGAAAUGUCUUUAAGCCUUAGGUUCCACAAGUAUGAAAACAAGUAAGUAACAGUAUCCUUUCUAGACUUGUUUAAGAUUUCCAUGUAAGUAAUUAUAAUGACUUCUGACACAUAAUAAUGUCGUCUUAUACCCCAACAGUAGGAAAAAAAUGCAGAAUUCAGUAUGAAAGUAUUGUUACCCUUUAACACAGUGGUCCCCAACCUUUUUGGCACCAGAGACCAGUCUCCUGGAAGACAGUUUUUCCGUGGGAUCGGGGGAUGGUUUUGGGAUGAAACUGUUCCACCUCAGGUCAUCAGUCAUUAGUUAGAUUCUCAUAAGGAGCGUGCAACCUCAAUCCCUUGCAUACUCAUUUCACAAUAGGGUUCAUGCUCCUAUGAGAAUCUAAUGCCACCACUCAUCUGACAGGAGGUGGAGCUCAGGCAGUAAGUCUCCCUCGCCCGCCACUCACCUGCUGGGCGUUCCUGUUCCUAGCAGGCCAGAAUUGAUACUGAUCUAGGGGUUGGGGACCCCUGCUUAACAUGUUGAGAUUAAAUGGAGAAAGACUUAAGCUUUUACUUUUGUGAUUGACACUUGCUUCAAUAAUGUAACCUUGUUCUGUGUUUUUAUCAUUUAUUAACAAAUUUCUUUUUUCUUAAGGGAAGCCUCCAAAAUCAAAGAAAAGUGAGUUACAAUCCAUAAUGAAUAUUUGCCUUACCAGCCUACUGGAACACAUUCAUCAAGAACUUAAGAGGAAGAAAGUUUUCUGCCUUCCUCCUUCCUAGUGCUCUCAGCUAUCAACUUUGAAAUAAGUUUAAACAACACCUACUGAAAACAAAAACCACUUAGUAUAAAAAUAUCCCCCACCAGAAUUGGGUCCCCCAUAUCAUUUCUACAAAACAGUUCUGGAGUGGAUCAAAGUCUCAUCAGAUCAGCUUGCCCCUUCUUGUUUGGGCAGGUUCUAGGAGAAGCUGCUGUAAUACAAAAACUGAAAGAUGAAAUCGUAAAGCUAGAUAAUGAUAAUGAUAUUUAGUGGGGAAGGCUACAGUAUGUUUUCCCAUAGGCAUUUAAACACUCACUUUUUCCAACGCUUUAUACUUUGUCCCUAUAGCCUUUGUAAUUUUAACUUUGAUGACAGUUUAACUUAGGAUAACCUGAAUAUGGGUAUUACUGUUAGUCAUUUGUAUUUUUAUCAUUUAACAUUUUAAAUGAAUGUUUAAUUUGCUGGGUUGAGUAAUGCCAAGGGAAUGAUGCUAAAAACAAAUAGAUGUGAGGUUAGUAAAAGAUUAAAGUUACAAUUUAUGAUACGAGAACUUCUUAACUAUAGGAAAGUAGGUAAAUGACCCUAAAAGGUUUUCUCAGAAGGUAAAAGUUUUACAUCAGUCUGAAGACAUAUAACUCUAACAUUUCAGUUUAGUUACUGAAAUGACUUUUUCUGGUGUCAUUGAGAUACUGGCUGUUUGUUCCAAGCCAUUUUAGGCUGAGAAUGACUCUUAAGGUCUUCUAAUGCAUUUCAGAGGGUUCUAGAAACAACAAACUGAACAUGAUAUGAAACUAACAACAUAGAAUGCCCCCCAAACAAAUUCCUCUAACCUCACUGAGUUUACUUGCCCUAUUACUAUUUUUUUUUUUUAAGAUCUUCUGUCUCUUGUUUUUGUUUUAUCCCUUACCUGAUGAAAGUGAACAUUUCUAGUGGAGAAAGAAGAUCACAGUUCUCUAAUAUGGGCAUUAAGAGAGGGGUACAGCUAGAGGGGAGGUGAAAACCUGCCUCCACUGGGGUGAAAAACAGUGUGCUGAGGUUUCAGCCAGUGAUUACACUGGGUAAUCAACCAGUCCCAUGUUUCACAAAGGAGUUGUAAUGAUUAACAGUUCAGGUAUGCUUCUGAGGAAAUCUAAUUGAGACCUUUGGAAAAUAGCAUUGUUAUGAAUGGUGUGGUGUUACGCCCUGAGGGAAAAGCUAGAAAAACAUUUUACUUUUCAAGUGUAUUUAAAUUACAUCCAAAUGUUUCAGUGUGCUUUACUGGAGACUGCCUGAGUUUGGAAUUCAAAUAUUGUAACCAAAUUACUCCAGGUUUCUGAACUAAAAUGAUCUAUUGAUGUUUCUCAAAGUAUAGAUCACAGAGUAAGAAAAGAGGAAAUCAAGUCUGGUUUAUGACAAACUUUUUUCCAUGUUAACAUUGGACCCAAAGAUGUUACUAAGAGCUUUUUACUACUGUGAGAGAACCAGCGUGAUGUGAAGACAACGAACAUUUUAAGAAGUUUGACUAGUAGACAUUUCGUUUAAGUCUUUUGGAGGGUCUUGGUUGACAACCCACAAUUUUAUUGUGGCUCCCCAGGCUUUGAGAACGUGUGGGCUUGGAUGAUCAUUGUUGACCUAUAAAAGAGCACAGGUCUCUUGAGAGUUUAUUGACACACUACUGAUCAGACCCCCACAAUAUGUCUCAACCUCUGUUGAAGGGCUAGUGAUGUUUAAAAAAACCUGUUAUUUCCAAUCAGAAAUUGAAGUUAUGUCUCUUACUCCAUCAAAAUUUAUGCUUUUCAGCAUUGGUCAAACCAAGUUUUUCCUGUCUUGUCUGGGCACAGACAAGCACUUAUGCUGACGGUUUACCGUGACAGCAUGUAGGGUUGGGUCUUCAUUACAAAGAUCUGCCCACUAGCUGAGUACACUGGUGUUUUUCCAUUCACCUCUGCCCAGCAGGACAAGAUGAUGAAAGUACAGAGAACUUGUGGGUCCAGGUUUGUGUCAGAAAGGAGGUUAGUGGCUUGCUUAGGGCCAGGCAGAGGGCACAUUGGAAGGAAUUCUCUGUUCCCGGUGACAGCCCUUGGAAUUGCUGUGCACCCAGAGUUGCGGAGUAAUUUAUUGGCUUCUGAUAACUAUAGUAUUGGAUAACUUCCCAACAUUUUAUUAAAAAUUUUAAACAUAUAGGCAUGUUGAAAGAAUUUAUACUCACCACCUAGAUUUUGCCACUAUCACAUAUCUGUGCAUCCUAUUAAUACAUUUUUAAUUAUUAUUUUUUUGAGACAGAGUUUCUUUUACUCAGGCUGGAUUGCAAUGGUGCAAUCUCAGCUCACUGCAACCUCUGCCUCCAAGAUUGAGGCGAUUCUCCCACCUCAGGCUCCUGAAUAGCUGGGACUACAGAGGGGAGCCACCAUGCCCGGUUAAUUUUUGUAUUUUUGGUAAAGAAGGGGUUUCAUCAUGUUGCCCCAGGCUGGCCUUGAACUCCUGGGCUCAAGUGAUCCUCUGGCCUCAGCCUCCCAAAGUGCUAGGAUUACAGGCAUGAGUCACCGUGCCCAGCCAGCCAUUAAUGCAUUUUUAAUAUAUUUUUAGUCAAUUGCAGACAUCGUACAAUUUUCCCUAAACGUUGCAACAUGCCUAUUCAUUACAGUUCAGUAUUUUUCAGGAUUUUUUUUUUUUGUAAAAUUUACAAAGAAAUGUGGAAAUCUUAGUUGUGCAUUAGUUGAGUUUUAACAAAUACCUAGGCUUUAUCGCAACCUCUAUCAAGAUACAGAACAUUGCUGUCAUUCUAGAAGCCUCUGUAAUGUGCCUUCCCCAGUCAAUCUCUUUUUCCAUGGCCCCAGCAGCCAUCAUUCUUUCAAUACUUUAAAAAACAUUCUUAUCUGAAGGGAAAUUUCAUAUGUGCCAAAGUCAUCUCUAGAUUUCUCCAAGUCUUAACCAUGCCAGAGUACAGCCAAACCUAGCCCUUCAUGCAUCUCAAAUAAAGUUCUAAGAUCUUGGUAUUUUAUUCUUCCCUGUUUCAACUUAGCUCCAACUCUUUUUUUCUUUUUUCCAUCAAGAUUUAAACCUGUCAUCCUUGACAUUUGGGGCAGAAACUGCUGAAAUGAAGGAGGACUUGCCAUCAAAGAACUGGCUGAAAGGAGUUAGCACACCACUCCUCUGCCCUGAACAGUUCUAAGCAAGAGGAGGAGCCUGUGGCAGGGCGUGAUAUGAAGUCCUCAGAGAUAGAGUGCCAAGAGUAGAGGGAGUAUCCUGGAACUUCAGUGUUUGCAGGUCAGUUGCUCAGUUCUUCAGAAGAUAUUGAUUCUUAGGCUCUAAUUUUCUUAAGGUAUGAGCUGAACUGAAGUGCUCUCUCCUCCUUAGGAUUUUGUACUCCAAGGUUGGCAUUCAGAAUCCGCAUAGCCAGAGAGUGCUGUAUACAAGCAGGGCUGUUAGCAUCUGCUCAGCUUCUGAUGAGGCCCAGGAAGCUUUUGGUCUUGGUGGAAGAGAAGAGGAGCCAGCAUAUUACAUGACGAGAGGAAGCAAGAGAGAUACCAGGCUCUUUUAAGCAACCAGUUCUCAUGUGAACGCAUUGCUACUGAGAAAGUGCCAAACCAUUCACGAGGGAUCCACUACCUAGACCCAAACACCUCCCCCUAGGCCCCGUCUCCAACAGCGGGGAUCAUAUUUCAACAUGAGACUUCGAGGAGACAAAUAUCCAAACCAUAUCGCCCACGUUUAGGAAUGUCUCUCCAUGGUAGAUGAUUUGCAAAUAGACGGUGGUAUACCCAUUCCAUGGAAGCAGGGAAAUAUGUUUGCACGUCUUUGGUUAGUCCUCUUCUUUUCUACUGACAGUGGGCUUGUCCAUGUGUCCUGCAUGAUCAAAAUGACAAUAGCAAACUUGAUGGCCACAGAAGAUUGAAAAGUGCUUGGGCAUUGAGCUUGCUCUCUCUUGAAGUGCUUGGAGCCCUGAGACUGCCAUGAGACCACAUAAAUGAUCACUAGCUAGCCUGCUGGAGGAUGAGAGGUCACUUGAGAAACCUUGGCUCACAGCCUGCUUACACCAGACACAUGGAUGAGUCUGUCUUAGACUAUCCAGCUCCAGCUGAGUUGCCAGCUGACUUCAGUCACAUGAGUGAGAACAACAGAAGGACAGCACUGAGCUCUGCCAAAAUUGCUGACCUACAGAAUCUUGAGCUAAUGAAUGAUUGUAGCUUUAUGCCAUUAAGUUCUGAGGCAGUGUGCUAUACAUAGCAAAAGCUAACUGAUACAAAACUAAAGAUACAAUGGCACAAACAUGAAAAGACAUGUUCACCGAAGCAUUGCCUAUAAUAGUUAAAGACUGGAAACGACUCAGAUGUCCACCAACUCAGGAGUGGUUGAACCUACUACAGUGCAUUCACCCCGUGGAAUACUAAGCAGCUCCAACAGGGGUAGGAAAUUUGUAUACUUUCAUAAAAUGAUCUUUAGGAUAUAUUGUUAAGUGAAAAAAACAAGGUGUAGAAUAGUUAAUAGAGUAUGCUACCUCUUAUUUAAUAAAGGGAGAAUAUAAAUAUGUAUUUUGCUUUUAUUUAGAAAAUGAAAGAAUAAGAAACCACUAAAAUGAUUUUUUAGAAGAAAGCAAGGGGACACAGAUGGAAGUUAGAUUUCUCUAAAUUUACUUUGUUUUGUAGCUAGAACUUUAGAACCAUGUCAAUGUUUUACACACGUCACACUUAUAAUCAAGAUAAAAAAUACUUAUACAGUGAUGUGUCACUUAAUGACAGGGAUAUAUUCUGAGAAAUGGUGCCGUUAGGCACUUUUGUCCCUGUGCCAACAUCAUAGAAUAUACCUACUGCACACCUAGGCUAUAUGAUGUAGUCUAUUGCUCCUAAGCUACAAACCUGUAUAGCAUGUUACUGUACUGAAUACUGUAGGCAAUUGUAACAGAAUGGUAAACAUUUGUGUAUCUAAACAUAGAAAAGGUACAGUAAAAACACAGUAUAAAAGUCAAAAAAUGGUACACUUGCAAGGGCACUUACCAGGAAUGGAGCUUAGAGGUUGGAAGUUGCUCUGUAUGAGUCAGUGAGUGAGUGGUGAGUGAAUGUGGAGGCCUAGGAAAUUAUUCUACACUACUGUAGAAUUUAUGAACAUUUGGGCUACACUAAAUUUAUAAAAAACAUUUUCUUCUUCAAUAAUGAGUUAGCUCACUGUAACUUACUUUUUAAACUUUUUAAAUGUUUUUUAAGUUUUUAACUCUUGUAAUAACACUUAGCUUAAAACACACAUUGUACAGCUGUACAAAAAUAUUUUCUUUAUGUCAUUCUAUAAGCUUUUUAAAAUAUUUUCAAAUGUAUUUUUUUUUUUAAAGCUUAAAAAAAACAUGUAAGAGGCCGGGCGCGGUGGCUCACGCCUGUAAUCCCAGCACUUUGGGAGGCCGAGGCGGGUGGAUCACGAGGUCAGGAGAUCGAGACCAUCCCGGCUAAAACGGUGAAACCCCGUCUCUACUAAAAAAAUACAAAAAAUUAGCCGGGCGUAGUGGCGGGCGCCUGUAGUCCCAGCUACUUGGGAGGCUGAGGCAGGAGAAUGGCGUGAACCCGGGAGGCGGAGCUUGCAGUGAGCCGAGAUUGCGCCACUGCACUCCAGCCUGGGCGACAGAGCGAGACUCCGUCUCAAAAAAAAAAAAAAAAAAAAAAAAAAAAAAAAAAAAAAAAAAACAUGUAAGACACCCACAUAUUAGCCUAGACCUACACAGGGUCAGGAUCAUUAAUAUCAGUGUCUUCCAUCUCCACAUCUUGUCCCACUGGAAGGUCUUGAGGGGCAAUAACAUGUAUGGAGCUGUCAUUUCCUAUGAUAACAAUGCCUUCUGGAAGGCUUCCUGAAGGACCUGCCUGAGGCUCUUUUUGAGGCAGUGUCACUCUUUUCAGAAAUAUGUCCAUGGUGGUUUACUCAAUUUGCUUCUUUUUUAUUCAUAGAUUUGCAUAUGUAAUGCAUUGCGCUAUACCAUUAAGACAGCUAUGAUGUCACUGCAGUUACAGUGUCACUAGGUGAUAGAAAUUGUCCAGCUCCAUUACAACCUUAUGGAACCACUGGUGCAUACGUGGUUCAUUGUGGUCCAUUGUUGACUGAAACAAUGUUAUGAGGUGCGUAACUAUAUAUCCAAAGCAAAAGCUAAAUGAAAUAAAUGAAACUAAUUGUGUUGGUGUCCUAAACACACAGAGGAGAAUUACUUCAAGUAUUUUUAAAACACAGUCACUUGUCUAUGCAUUUUUAGUGGAUAUGCCCUAAAGUAUGAAACUAAAUUAAAAAUAAAUAAAAAAUUAAAAAUAAAAUUAAUUUACAAAUAGUAUUAAUAUUGAAUAAUAAUAUAUGUUAAUAUUGUUACUCUGAAUCUAUUAUAUACAUUUUGGAGGAUAAAUAACAUGCAAUUUUGUUAAUAUUAGGAAUCAAGAAACUAUAUAUAUAAAAUCAAAGCUGCUAAAUAAAAUUAUAAAUUGUGUUUAUAAUUACAAAUUUGAAUUGGAAAUAUCAUUAUAAAAUCAUAAUGUAUUUCCUUUACAGAAGCACAUUUUCUAGCCCUGUUAUUUGAAAAUCAGUAAUGAGCACCCUUAGAAUGCAGAUUAUAGUCUCUAAAUGCAAUUUUCUGCUAAAAGGAAUAAGAAUUCCUUGGAGAAAUGACGAAUGUAUGAGAUGAGCUGAAAACAUCUUGUUGAACAUGAAAUAAAGGAAACCCUUAAAAAAUACUGCAUUUUUAAGGACUAGGAGCCAAUUUAAAGGGAUUAUUUCUUGCCAAAGAUGGGAAAUUGUGUAUACCAAAACAACAGUUGUGAUAAAUUGAAAUUCAUAUUAAAAUCUGAGAGUUUAAAAUUA
Molecule: long non-coding RNA, 7932 nt
Organism: Homo sapiens (human)
Lineage: Eukaryota; Metazoa; Chordata; Mammalia; Primates; Hominidae
Exons: 3
Source: RefSeq, a predicted model, not a curated record